CCAAGGAGUCUUGCAAACGCGCGAGUCACUGGGCUCGCACGAACCCCAAAGGCGCAAUGAAAGUGAACGCGCCCCCCGCCGCCUCGGCGGAGGGGGGCAGGCGGUGGGAUCCCGGCCCAGAGGGUUCGGGCGCACCACCGGCCCGUCUCGCCGGCCCCGACCGGGAGGCGGAGCAGGAGCGUGUUUGCAGGGACCCGAAAGAUGGUGAACUAUGCCUGAGCAGGGCGAAGCCAGAGGAAACUCUGGUGGAGGCCCGCAGCGGUUCUGACGUGCAAAUCGAUCGUCUGACUUGGGUAUAGGGGCGAAAGACUAAUCGAACCGUCUAGUAGCUGGUUCCCGCCGAAGUUUCCCUCAGGAUAGCCGGCGCCCUUUGUGGCAGUUUUAUCCGGUAAAGCGAAUGACUAGAGGCAUCGGGGCCGAAACGGCCUCGACCUAUUCUCAAACUUUAAAUGGGUAAGAGACGCGGCCCGCUCGGAUGGGGCCGGGGUGCGAAUGCGGGCGCCGAGUGGGCCA
Molecule: ribosomal RNA, 513 nt
Filed under: Thysanocardia catherinae
Lineage: Eukaryota; Metazoa; Annelida; Sipuncula; Golfingiida; Golfingiidae
Description: eukaryotic LSU rRNA
Rfam family: Eukaryotic large subunit ribosomal RNA
Source: RNAcentral